This 556-nucleotide ribosomal RNA is filed under the name uncultured bacterium. Its description in RNAcentral is "partial 16S ribosomal RNA". It matches the Rfam family "Bacterial small subunit ribosomal RNA", at positions 355 to 932 of the family's 1533-position model. The record is from RNAcentral.
UGGGGAAUAUUGCACAAUGGGCGAAAGCCUGAUGCAGCAACGCCGCGUGAGUGAUGAAGGCCUUCGGGUUGUAAAGCUCUGUCUUUUGGGACGAUAAUGACGGUACCAAAGGAGGAAGCCACGGCUAACUACGUGCCAGCAGCCGCGGUAAUACGUAGGUGGCAAGCGUUGUCCGGAUUUACUGGGCGUAAAGGAUGCGUAGGCGGAUUUUUAAGUGAGAUGUGAAAACCCUAAGCUUAACUUGGGGACUGCAUUUCAUACUGGAAAUCUAGAGUGCGGGAGAGGAGAAUGGAAUUCCUAGUGUAGCGGUGAAAUGCGUAGAGAUUAGGAAGAACACCAGUGGCGAAGGCGAUUCUCUGGACCGUAACUGACGCUGAGGCAUGAAAGCGUGGGUAGCAAACAGGAUUAGAUACCCUGGUAGUCCACGCCGUAAACGAUGAGUACUAGGUGUAGGAGGUAUCGACCCCUUCUGUGCCGUAGUUAACACAAUAAGUACUCCGCCUGGGAAGUACGAUCGCAAGAUUAAAACUCAAAUGAAUUGACGGGGUCAUAGCUG